This 409-nucleotide ribosomal RNA is filed under the name uncultured bacterium. RNAcentral's name for it is "bacterial SSU rRNA". It matches the Rfam family "Bacterial small subunit ribosomal RNA", at positions 355 to 776 of the family's 1533-position model. The record is from RNAcentral.
UGGGGAAUAUUGCACAAUGGGCGAAAGCCUGAUGCAGCGACGCCGCGUGAGGGAUGACGGCCUUCGGGUUGUAAACCUCUUUCAGCAGGGAAGAAGCGAGAGUGACGGUACCUGCAGAAGAAGCACCGGCUAACUACGUGCCAGCAGCCGCGGUAAUACGUAGGGUGCAAGCGUUGUCCGGAAUUAUUGGGCGUAAAGAGCUCGUAGGCGGCCUGUCGCGUCGGUUGUGAAAGCCCGGGGCUCAACCCCGGGUCUGCAGUCGAUACGGGCAGGCUAGAGUACGGCAGGGGAGAUCGGAAUUCCUGGUGUAGCGGUGAAAUGCGCAGAUAUCAGGAGGAACACCGGUGGCGAAGGCGGAUCUCUGGGCCGAUACUGACGCUGAGGAGCGAAAGCGUGGGGAGCGAACAGG